UUUUUUAUAUUUCUUCUAUUAAGUGGAACAAAGAUUUUUUACAUCAUUUUGGUUUCUUAAACAAAACAAAUAAAUAAAUAAAAAUCAGUAAUUAUCUUCCGCGAUCUGAGAUAAAUUAAUGCUUCAACUUUCUUCUAUCAUCUUUUGUGGCUGGGAAGGUAAGAUUGCCUAUUUAACUGAUAAUAGACAUAAGGAUAGGAUAAAUGAAGUUAUUGACCUUAAAGUACUACUUAAUUACUUUUUUUUGUUGAAUAUAACUUGCAUGGUUUCUGUUGCUUGAAUGCUCUGAUUUGAGCCAAAUAAUAUAAACUUUUAGGUUCUUUUGCUGUUUAGCUUCACUUGAGAUGUAAUAUCAUGUGGUCAGGCAGCAAAUUUUUAUGGCCUGGGCCAUAGCAUGCUGUAUAACAAUUUAAGAAUCAUUCUUUUUAAAUCUAAACUAUUGUGUCCCCUCCUUCCUCCCACGAAAGUGACCAUAUAUGAUCCUGACCGUUAGUGUAAAAGGUUUUCUGUAUUUGGUGGCUAAUGCUAGUAAAUUAGUAGUAUAUUCUAUGCUAAAAGAUUUUCUUAACCUUUUGUUGAUUUUCAUACCUUUGUUAUGUAAAUGUAAUACAACGUUACAUCCUUAGAUUUCUGGUAUUGAUGUCAUCCAUUUUAAAUUAUUGGGUAUUUAAGUAUCUAUUACAUAUCUAGAGUCUUCAUGCUUGAGUGUAUUUGUGUGAUUCAAUUCUCCGAACUUAUGAGUGGAUUUUCAUAUAUUUCCAAUUCCAGGCGGAGUGGACAAAAGAGAGGCUUAAACAGGUAUCUAUUUUCCACUAUGCAUCAUAUGGUCUUGUAGUCAAUCUCAUCACAUAUGGGGGCAUUAUUUAGUUUUGAAUGUGAAAAAUAAUGAAGUUGAUAUGAUACUUGUACUGAGCACUUUCACUUGCCCACUUAUCAAGAGGCUGCAUGAAAUUUUUUUAAUCAACAGUUCAUUUACUCUAUUUGGACGGCUUUCAGUUAGUUUUAACGAAAAAUGGAUGUGCACGAAUUUGUGAUUAUUCAGUUAAUACGAGAAACUUCAACUUUAAUGAGCGAGACAUGUAAUUAGUUCUAGGAAAUAAUCCUGCACUAUUAUUAAGUUAUACUAUGCACUGCUAGAAAUGCUUGUUGAAAAUUACCUAGUGAAUUCAAUUUGAAACUGAAUUGUUUGCAUAAAUAUGUGGAUUGCAUGAGUGCUAGACGUUGCUUGACUUAAUCUUGACAGGCAACGGGAAUUCAUUCUGUGAGUAGCGUGUAGGAGCUGUGGUGGUGUUUUUUUAUCAGUUUAGAAUCUAAUUGGUGUUAUUUCAACUUCCACAAUGAGUUUAGAAGGAAAUAUAGAGAAAUAAUUGACAUAUUACUCAGCACUGGAAGUAAGGAUUUGCUCUUUUAAGGUUGUGUUCCAUCUGUUUUUCUUCUUUUUCGGUGGGGUGGGGGAUGCAUUGAAUAUAAUUAAGUUGCAACUGGGAGGUGUUUACCUUUUGCAGAUAGCAUUGUCUUUUCAAUUCGAAUCGUUAGCAGAAUGCUAGGUUAUUUACAGAAUUAAGCUUAAAGUUUUCAUUUCAUUUUCCACUGGGUACAGAUGUAGUAUGUGAAUAAUUCUCUAUCUGAUCCAUAUAUGUCUUUAUCAUUGAUGAUCUUGUAGAUCUAUCUCCAGUAAAUUAAUAUUCAUGGGAUAUGAUUCAAUAUUUUCAUACAUAUCCAGUCUCUUAUUUGAAGUAUUGUUUCCCCUCAUCAUGUGGCAAACAUGAUACUAUAAGUCUCCAGAAAUUUUUAAGAUUCUUUGUUUUAUGUUGAAGAAGAGGUUGAUAGUCUAUUUUUAAAACAAAAUUCAGGGAUAUGCAUUCAAGUAUCAUAAUAAGGGGCAUAAGGCUUUCGAUGCGUGAUAGCUGUUGUUCAAUUUUAUAUGCAAAGGAAGCAAGAAAGGCGUGGAUUUAAGGAAUGAGAGGAGAGUGUGAAGAAAUGAGAAUUUAGAGGAACUGUUGUGGUGAUGUCAAAGUUAGUUCGUGUGGAAAAUAAAUGUAAUCCAGAUAUCAGGAAGUUGAAUACUGUUGGCAUGUUGGUGAAACAUUGUAAAGCAGAGGAUAUGGGAAACAUGCUGAGGUAGUUGGGAGGAUAGAAGUCUGCAGAAGGUGGGUCUAGAAGGAAUGAAAUACCAGGGUGGAAAGUUGAUGAAAAUUAGGGGCGAAACUAACUGGGGCGGAAGUUGGGUAAUAAACAACACAGUAUAUGUAUGCACAUAAGCUUUAUAUGAUCUUCUGAUGACUGCUGGAUAACGUGGAGAAUAUUAUUAACCUGUGCUAUUGCCCUUUCAAACAUGGAUAAGUGGACCAUGUGUCUCUAUUUAAGUUGUUCAAAUUUUUUUAGCAUAUCUAGGAGCAUUUUUGGCUGAGCUUAACUAACUCAAUUUACUUGUAAGUAAAUAAUUAAGUUUUGACAUACGUGAUUAUUUAUUGAUCAAAAUUGAAAAUAAGUUAUUUUACUUCUCUAGUCAUGGUCUUAGAUUUGGAUUUUUUAAUUUUUUUUUUCCCUUUGUUAGUCAACUGUCAAGAGGCAAACUGCAUAAUAUAGCAUGAUAUUUGAAUAUCUCUUGAUUUUUUCGUAAGUUAAUGUCUCUCUACUACAAAUAUCGACCAAAGGAGAGAGCACCUUGGAGUAUAAUGUUAAAACUUCAGGAGGAAAUGACUGUUACUGAAGGUUAAUUUUUUGUCAUGCAGCUAAUGGAGAACGUGAUCCCUGUCAUGGAAAAGCGAAGACCUUCACGUUUCCUUCAGAGAGUUCGUUCUGUGCCGUGGUAAUCAGAUUCUAGUGCAGAACCAUGAAGAUAUUUAAAUGCCAUUUCUCCAACGUAGGAGCAAGAUGUUAACAUUUUGUCUGCAAAAAAUGAAGAUUGGAUGGCACUUGUCAAUGCUAAAAAUGAAGAAUUAUACCAUUCAGGUCUGCCCGAUUCAGCAUCCGGACAUGCACUCUGGGUUUAAUAACUUAUUAUGGUGAUUGUUAGUCUUGGAAAGCAGUUAUUCUUCUUGCUGUAAAGUGAAAUAGCAUAUAGUAGGAUAGAAUUGGAGUGUAUUGGUAAUGAAAUUUUUGUGUUCAGUGAAGACCAGUUUAAUUAGAAGUGUUGAGCUUUAUAUAUUUAGCUAGUAUCCCAUUCCCAGUUGCUAAUGUAAGGGGAGAGGGGGUUGUAAUGGCUUCUUGUAUCACUUCAGCUAAUGGCUUAUGAAUUAUGAUAGCUCCUCCUUGACAGUGUUAUGCGCGUGCACGUAUAUAUAAAUCUUUAAUACUAUCCAAUUUUGUCAAGUUCAGUAUGCUGAAAGCAGUUUUUCUUAAAACGAACCUUUAGGUUGUGUUAGAUACACCAAAUUAGACCAUAUAAGAAUUAAAAUAUUAAUCUUAUAAUGAAGAUUAUUGGCUUUGUAUGGUAGGACGAUUAUACAGUAUAAAGAAUAAAUAUAAGUCAAAAUUUUUAUAACAUUGUGAACCUAUCAAGCCCUUGGUGAAGUUUUAAAUGCAGUAUCACAUUCUUGCUCAUCGCCCCCAUCGUAUUAGCUUGUCAGUUUGCCAAUCAGACGUCAAUCAUUGAAAACUUGCUUAUUAACCUUUAAAAAAAAAAGGUUGAACCCCAAGGGUCCCCCACCGUCCUGCCCAUGGAGCAUUGUGAGAGAUUAAUCUCGGGUUGUGUCCCAAUAGGCUAGGGAACAAGAGCUGUCUGUACACUAGUGCCCACAAAGAGUCCCAAUCCAUGUUUCAGGAAUCGAAUUCUCACAUUGCGAUUGCCAGCAAGACUGAGUAUACCUCACCCUUGUCCUUUGCACUACUGAAAUAUGCCCUGGGGGAGCCCAUGUUAGUAAUAAUAAAUACAAGUGGAUAGUAUAAUAUUUUCUUUCUUUUCUGUCUUUCAUACCGUACCAUUUGUAUCACAUGCUUCUGUUUGGAUUCUUAAAUGACAAAAUUGAUUACUUUUCUUAUAGAAGUACAAGAAAAGCAGAGAUUUGCCUUGGAUAUAUGUAUAUGAAACAACAGUGAAUUUAAGUGUGGAGGUUAAAUUUUCAAAUCUCCCCUUGAUAAUCGAACUCUCCACUGCCCAUUGCAUUUUUCGAGCCCAUUGCACCUGGUCUAUCCAUGACUGUCCACUGCCCAUUGCAUUUUUGUAGUGUAGGGCCGGCGCAUGAUUUCCCAAGAUUCCUUAUAUUUUUUUCGUCCACGGUCUUUCGUCCCAUUCUCACCAUCUCUCAAAUCAUUUCCGUUCUCUCCUUGAUAUCACAAAUCGUCACACGUCCUCUCAAAUCAUUUGUUAUUCAUGCAGUCCCUGCUCCGACUUCCAAUCCAAGGAGUCUUGAAUGGAGGAUACUCUCAAUAGGCCGGCAUCAACAUUAUGCAAAAUUUCCAACCCUUAGAAUGAAGUUCCUGGUGACUAAUAAGUCAAAACAGACAAGUCGAGAAAGAAGCAUCGGUAACUGAACUGUUCAGGGAUUGAAAAACCCUUCUCGUAGCAAAAUUUAGAUACAAAAAGAUCGGAGAACCCGCCCCUUCUUAUUGGGGGACUCAUGAAAGCUGAAAUGUUUAGGUAACAAUACUGAUAACCAAAACUCAAAUAUUAUGCACUUCCUGCUUACCAAGAAAAGACAAGAUGUGUUGAGCACUGGCAUAACCCGGUAAUCAAAAAACUCGUAAAGUUAGCAACUACUUGCAGAAUCUUUAAGGACAAAAUUGCAUAUAUUGAAAUAAGAACAUGAGUCAAUAGUAUGAAAACAUUAUUAUUUCAAUGUAUAUCGACUGUCUCAUAUCUUUGUCUGAAUGUAAUAUGUACAACAUGUGCAAUUCAGAAAUUCAUAAAAGCGCAAAGAAUUCUGUUUUUUCGAGCCCUGCUUUGGUCUCUAGUUUUAUGGUUGUAUGUGCCAAGGAAAAAAGAAAAGCAUUGAAGUAAUAUUUACCAUCUUGCAAAACUAAAAUUCUCACAUUAGACAAAUACAAAUUUACUCUGAAUUUUGAUUAUCUAAGGGCAAUAAAGGAUGAACAAUAAUAUAUUGGACCGGAGAACAUCCAAUUCUUUUCCACAUCUUUUACAUAACAUACUAUGAGAAAAUGAAAGACAUUAUCUCUUUGAACCCUUUUAUUCUGGGCUAAUUGCCUACCAUCAUUUGUUUCUUCCCUUAAUCAAAGAAAAACAAAACUCAUAGAACAUUAGGAAGUUCCAGUUAAGCUCACACGAAUCUCCUCUGUUCAAAUGGUAUUAAUCGUGACUAUUUGCUCGUCCAAUAGAGUUGAGACCCUCAGUCCUGCUGCGCACUAUUCUGUGGAACACUUCUCUAACCUGGCGCUCCAAUGGAUCCAAUCCAUCCUUUAUGGAUUCAUACACCAUACCUAACUCCUUUACUCUCUGUCUUGCUUCACCCUCUUUUUCUUCUGUCAAGGGGAACUGGACAGAAUCGAUCAACUCGUUCAUGUGCCGUGCACAUAUCUCAAUCUCGUGAAUCUCCUUCAACAACCCACAAGCAUUUUUCCUGUCUCGUUUCUUCGACACUUCCAAAAUCUUCUCAUGGAGGGAGAGCAUCGGAACUGCCCACAGGAACUGCUUAGUAAUGGAAAAGUUAGUCUGAAGGCCACGGUCUUGACAUGGGAUUGCAGCAACAAGAGCCCACAUUACAAACAAAAGCACAUAACUCAUAGUAAAAACCGUUUUUCGUGUAAUAUUAUUUUAUGGAAGAUUUUGUGGUUAAAAAUAAGAGAAAGAAAAAUAAAAUAUAAUAAAAUAAAAAUUAAUGGGACCAAACGGGAGCCAAAAUUUAUUAGCACUUAAACCACUAGAGAUGCAGGAUUCAAUGAUGACAAAAAAUCCUCAAUACAGUUAGAGCCUGUUUAGGCCCCAUUUUUUCACCAAAAAAAAUAAUUUUUUGAUCGUUAUUUUAUUAUUCCAGCCGUCAUAUUUGACUUUUUCUCUUACGGGUGGACCCCACUUUUCUCCUAACGGUCAAAAAUUCAAUUCUCAAAAUCACUCCAAAACAGACUCUUACUGGAUGUCAAUAGAUCAACUAUUAAUGGGGUGACUUUAUACUCUUCAAUGAUUCCUAAUAUGGUCAUGAGAUUUAUGGGCUCCAGUGACUUCAACAAUCUAUGGACUACGGUGAUUGAGUGAUGGUAUUUAAAAUAAAUCUGGUAUAUCCUUUUUUAGUGGACUUCCCCUUAUAUUUAAUGUCACACAUGUCCUUGUUUGGUUUGGCUAAAAAAAUCAAAUUUUUAUAAGAUUUUGAUAAAAGUUGAUAAAAUUUAUGAUUGAAAUGUAGAUAAAAAUUAUGAAUAUCAUAAAAUGAGUGGUUGAAAAUGAAUUUGACGAAUCAUAUUUUUUAAAGUUUUGAGAUCAAACAAGGGUAACAAGAUUAGACUGUUUGGUUGAAUUUAAAAGUUAUAAUUCAAAAAAAUUCCUAGUAAUAAAUAUGACUUGUAACUCGAAAAUAAGGUUUUUUUUUUUUUUUUUUUUAAGUAAAAAAUAAUUUACUUAUUUUAAAUAGAAUUAAACACAUAAUUUUGCAAAGCUUUCACUUGUGUUUUCGUCCUUCCAAAAGCUCUUAUAGAACAAGUAGAUUUGUUGAAAAAAGGAAAUUACAAGUAACUUGACUUAUUUUUAAGCAUAAUAAAGUCUAUCUAGUGGCUCAAGUAUCACUCUAUAUGACAUAUCGGCCACGUUUAAUGUUAUUGGGCUAAGAUAUUGUGAGUGCUUAAAUUAGAAUUUAAAUGGCGAGUUUCAUCGAACUUUAUUGAUUAAAAUGGUUGUAGGUUCAUUAAAUUUGUGGAUAUCUGGUGGAAAUAUUUCGAGAAUGGGGCUUGUUUGAGCCAUAUUAUUUUCAAAAAAAUACAUUUUUGAACAGUGAUUUGACACAUUUUAAUCACAUAUUCUUCAAUAAAAUAAUAUUAUACGUAAAUUUAAAUUUUUUUUUUAUUUUUUAAAUACUCAUUUCUCAUUGAUUUGACAUGAAAAAUGCAUUUCUUAGAAUGUGGUUCAAACGUGAACUAAAUUUUGUGAAAUUGAUUUUUGGAAAUGUAUCGUUGAAAAGUAUGGAAAAAUUAUUGGUAAAUGUGCAUAAUUAUUUUAUUCCUCUUUUAAGUAAAGCCACAAUCUACGUGCACACAAACGUAUGAACUGUGCCCCCGAGCAUAACCGAGUGGUACAGAGAACAGAAGUGAUGUUAUCUCAUAUCUUGUUGACAGUCGCAGUGUCGGGGUUCGAUUUUUGAGACAUGAAAUUUGAUUCCUUGUAGGCGCAGUGUACAGACAGCUCUUGUUUUCUGACCUAUUGAAAUACAUUUCGAGAUUUACCUGCCUCACAAAACUCCAAAGACGAGAUGGUAGGAGCCUUCAAGUUUGGGGUUCAAUCUUUUUUUUUUUUUUUUUUUUAAACGUAUGAACUGUCUCCCAAAAGAGAACGAAAUCUCUCCCACUACUCUCACUCUCCUCAUCACAAAAUCGCCAGAAAUACAAAUCCCUAGGCCUAUUCCUAUUGAGUGUCAACACAUGCACACUGUCGCGCACAGUUAUCACUACCGCACUCUUUGUCAUACUCGCACGCACAUACCCAGAAAAAAAAUAAUGGAAAGGGGCAACCUGAUGGUGAUUCUGAUUAAAUCCCACUAAUAGUCAUAUUUUUUGGGAUUUUUUUGUUAAUUAAUGGCGUCGUCGAAGCUGGUGCCGUCGCGGAAUUUAGAUCUCAAGAGAAAACUUUCUGGUUGUGCUUCGGGUUCUUCUACGAGGUUGAUUGAUUUCUUGAGAAAUUCUUAUGUGGAUACUGAUACGGGCUCGGACUCUGACCCGGUUACGGAGGGGGAAGGUUCUAGUACUUUGUUGAAUGCGGAGAUUACGUUGCUUGAUGCUGCCGGAGCUGUGACUCCGAUAAGUGAUUGCGAAGUGGGGAACGUGGAGCCCCCUCGUGCUAUUAGGAAGACGGUUGAUGAUGUCUGGAGGGAGAUUGUGGCUGGAAAGAAGAGGCAGACCGAGCAGGUGCCCAAGCAGGAGAUGAUGACUCUGGAGGAUUUUUUGGUGAAGGCAGGGGCCGUGGAGGGUGAGGCCAGUGGUGCCGGGGCAGGAGUGACUGUGGAGGUGAAGGAGGAGAUGAUGAGUGGUGGGAUUUAUGGGCAUGAAAAUUCUCCUGUGGUGGGAAUGGCGACUGGGUUAGAGAUAGGAGUGGAUGUUGGGGAUUUUGGGAACGGGAGAGGGAGAGGAAAGAGGACCAUGAGCUUGAUGGAACCUUUGGAUAAGGUGGCACAACAAAAGCCAAGGAGCUUGAGCUUGUUAGAACCGUUGGAUAAGGCGACACAACAAAGGCAGAGGAGGAUGAUUAAGAAUAGGGAGUCAGCUGCAAGGUCAAGAGAGAGAAAGCAGGUAAAAGAAAUUCCAUUCUCUUUUAGUAUUGGUUAGCGGCAUUUUGGAAUUUUUCUUGUUUCUGAUUAAUUUUGUGCCUGAUUUAGGCCUAUCAAGUGGAAUUGGAGUCAAUGGCAGUGAGACUUCAGGAAGAGAAUGAGCAGCUUUUGAAAGAGAAGGUAAUUAAAAUUGCCUCUAGUUUGUACUUUGAAAAAUGAAGAUCUUGACAACUCCAUGAAUAUAAGUUUACAGGACUUUUUUUGAAUUGCUGAGUUCUGACUGCUAAUUUUUGGAGUUCAAAUGUAGAAGUUGAUUUAACUAAACUUAAACAUGUGACCCACAAUUUUUGUAACUUGGAGAAUAAACUGUAUCACAAUGACUUCUUUUGUCUAAAAAUUCAUUGUUUCAUAUCUUCUGAGUUUUAACAGUUUUCUGGGUGCCUUUGAUUGGUUGGUAUCUUUAUUUAUCCACCUUGAUUUGCUGUUGGUUUUCUGCUUCCUUUAAAAACUUGCGACAGCCCAAGUUUCUCUGUUUUCACAUGGCAUGAUCCCCUACAACCCCAUCAAAGUAUUACCUUUGUUAUUGUCUAUGAGGAUAGCAGGCUCUUUGUGAAUCGAGGCUCCUGGUGUACAUAUACAUAAUAUGUAUAUCUUCACCAUUGGUUGUUUCACAGAACUUUACGUGUUGAUUUUGGAACUCCUCAACAUCAUCUUUUCAAAGCAUUUAAUGUGCUUUUAUCAUUUUGGUGUCAUGCCAUGUAACUAUAAGCAGAUUUUGUAUACAUAUGCUUGCAUGUCCCUUGGUAUUGGUACCAAAAGUGGAAAUAAUUGGAAGCAAGAAUAAUGAGAGUUGGAUUUCAGUCUCUUACGUUCUCGUAAUCUUUGCCUUGUAUUUGAAGUUCUAAAUCAUGUCAUAAUUUUUAAAUCACUUCGCUUCAUUUUGUAUAGAUGAAGUCAAUACUUAAUAACUUUUCACUUUGUUAUCUGGAACUUUACUUCAUCUUUCCUUGUGUGCUCAGCGGUACACAUAUACUGCAAGUACACAGUAAUCACUUCUCAUUUAUCUAAUACUAUUAUGAGAUAAUUAUUCUAUUUCUUGAUUUUAGUUUCUUCAUGAUGGCUAAACAAAUAAAUACCAUCAUUCAACUGAUUUCUUAUAAAAUUUAAACUUAUAUAUCAUGUCUAUCAAUUAACGUGUUUGUUAAUUUGCUUUUAUGAUGGUAUUCAAAGGAAAACCUUAUGGUCUGCAAAUGAAGUUUGUACUUUAAAUUGAAUCAUUGAUAAUACUAUCAGAUGCUCUUGUGCAUCUAAUUUUUUAUAUUUCUUCUAUUAAGUGGAACAAAGAUUUUUUACAUCAUUUUGGUUUCUUAAACAAAACAAAUAAAUAAAUAAAAAUCAGUAAUUAUCUUCCGCGAUCUGAGAUAAAUUAAUGCUCAACUUUCUUCUAUCAUCUUUUGUGGCUGGGAAGGUAAGAUUGCCUAUUUAACUGAUAAUAGACAUAAGUAUAGGAUAAAUGAAGUUAUUGACCUUAAAGUACUACUUAAUUACUUUUUUUUUGUUGAAUAUAACUUGCAUGGUUUCUGUUGCUGGA
RNAcentral lists this long non-coding RNA (9957 nucleotides) under Olea europaea (common olive). RNAcentral describes it as "long non-coding RNA (OEUR_LNC001424)". The record is from RNAcentral. Lineage: Eukaryota; Viridiplantae; Streptophyta; Magnoliopsida; Lamiales; Oleaceae.